Long non-coding RNA from Suricata suricatta (meerkat), 531 nucleotides. RefSeq lists it as uncharacterized. The transcript has 4 exons. Lineage: Eukaryota; Metazoa; Chordata; Mammalia; Carnivora; Herpestidae. The record is from RefSeq and is a predicted model, not a curated record.
UCCACGUUGCCCAGAGACUUCCUAAGUGUGGUGAACCCCUGAACCUCUCUUACCAGAGCUGUGAUUACAUCCACUUUGAUCUUGGAUCUGCCUGCUUCCUCAAGAUCAUCAAAGAAAAAUGAAGACUGUGUCUACCCAACUCCAGAGCACCAUUAUCAACAACUCUUGCCAGCAUCAGACAUUCUAGAAGCCUAGUAAAAUGGGUGAAGGUGUUUUAUUUGGGACACAACCCCAGGAAACAUGAGUGAGAGAACAAAGAAAAUGAGACCCGGUCUCAUUUAUAGAAUGCGUUCCUGAAUUUUCCUCCAAGGCCAUCGGUUCACCAUCUCCUGUAACCAUUGAUUGACAGUUACCAGCUGAUAUGAUGGAAAGAACAGAGCACCUAAGAUGCAUGGAUGGAGACCGCUAUUCUAGGCGGUGCCACCGGAAGCCUAGUGAAGCUGCUAUCAACCUGGGUGCAGAGCCUCUGUCAACCACAGUGACGUGUUGCAGAAUCAAGAAAUAGUGUUUAACCAUUGAAAAAAAAAAGAA